UAACAGGCUAGUUCCGCCUAAGAGUUCAUAUCGACGGCGGAGUUCGGCACCUCGAUGUCGGCUCACCACAUCCUGGGGGUGGAGAAGCUCCCAAAGGUUUGGCUGUUCGCCAAUUAAAGUGGUACGCGAGCUGGGUUCAGACCGUUCAGGAACGCAAGAAGAACGGAGAAAGGAGCAUGGAGUAGGGAGAGUCGCAAUGCGAUUCCUCCUUUCUCCUCGCUCCAUGCUCCUUGCUCCUUGUAUUCUGAGCAGUCUGAACCCCGAGGAUUCAGUGACACAUACGAACCACCACUGACUGGAACUUGUCCACGGCGGUCUCCCGAAGGAAUUCGGGAUGACACAGACGACUUAUAUCGGUGAAGCCCGGAUCGCAGGGAUGCGACCGCGGUAACACCUAGGGAAUAUGCCCGGUCUUAUGAUCGAGCGUUGCCCGUAGAGACUACACGUCGUCUAUCCGACCUUCGAAAGAAGGGGAUAAUAAUAUAGUCCGUUGCCCGUAGCGAUACGGGGAAAUACAAGCGUGAGACAGGUUGGUCUCCUAUCUACUGCAGGCGUUGAUGCUUGAGGGGAAUUGACUCUAGUACGAGAGGACCGAGUUGAACGAACCUCUGGUCUACCUGCUGUCCCGCCAGGGGCAUCGCAGGGCAGCUAUGUUCGGAUCGGAUAAGCGCUGAAAGCAUAUAAGCGCGAAGCCGGCCCCAAGAUGAGGCAUCGUUAUAGACCCGUGAGAGAUGAUCACGUUGAUAGGCUUUAGGUGUACGCGCCGCAAGGCGUUGAGCCGUGAAGUACUAAUCCGUCGAUCUCGUCGGGAAC
RNAcentral lists this ribosomal RNA (813 nucleotides) under Patescibacteria group bacterium. RNAcentral's name for it is "partial 23S ribosomal RNA". It matches the Rfam family "Bacterial large subunit ribosomal RNA", at positions 2475 to 2925 of the family's 2925-position model. The record is from RNAcentral.